RNAcentral lists this long non-coding RNA (307 nucleotides) under Mustela putorius furo (domestic ferret). RNAcentral's name for it is "lncRNA (ENSMPUG00000026109.1)". The record is from RNAcentral. Lineage: Eukaryota; Metazoa; Chordata; Mammalia; Carnivora; Mustelidae.
CACACUUUUGCACCUCUGUGCAGCCUACAAAGUAAACAUCAUUCAUGUCUAACUUCUUCACAGAAAUAUCCUUCCUACUAUAUUGGAUAUAUCUUCAAAACUCUACUCAAGAAUUACUUCUGGUGUGAAGCUGUCCAUGAAUGAGACUACUUGGCUACCUGUGUCUAAUUGUAUUUAGGAGAGGGAUGCUUGUUCUGUUCCCCAGACUGGGAAAAUUUUCAUCCAGGAUUUAUUCAACUAUAUCUUCUAGUCUUCUCUCUGAAAAAUGAGUUUACUGAUUUGGACAACCUGAUAAAUCCCACUUCCC